GACGAACGCUGGCGGCGUGCUUAACACAUCCUAGUCGAACGGAAAGGCCCUGCUUUUGUGGGGUGCUCGAGUGGCGAACGGGUGAGUAACACGUGAGUAACCUGCCCUUGACUUUGGGAUAACUUCAGGAAACUGGGGCUAAUACCGGAUAGGAGCUCCUGCUGCAUGGUGGGGGUUGGAAAGUUUCGGCGGUUGGGGAUGGACUCGCGGCUUAUCAGCUUGUUGGUGGGGUAGUGGCUUACCAAGGCUUUGACGGGUAGCCGGCCUGAGAGGGUGACCGGCCACAUUGGGACUGAGAUACGGCCCAGACUCCUACGGGAGGCAGCAGUGGGGAAUAUUGCACAAUGGGCGGAAGCCUGAUGCAGCAACGCCGCGUGCGGGAUGACGGCCUUCGGGUUGUAAACCGCUUUCGCCUGUGACGAAGCGUGAGUGACGGUAAUGGGUAAAGAAGCACCGGCUAACUACGUGCCAGCAGCCGCGGUGAUACGUAGGGUGCGAGCGUUGUCCGGAUUUAUUGGGCGUAAAGGGCUCGUAGGUGGUUGAUCGCGUCGGAAGUGUAAUCUUGGGGCUUAACCCUGAGCGUGCUUUCGAUACGGGUUGACUUGAGGAAGGUAGGGGAGAAUGGAAUUCCUGGUGGAGCGGUGGAAUGCGCAGAUAUCAGGAGGAACACCAGUGGCGAAGGCGGUUCUCUGGGCCUUUCCUGACGCUGAGGAGCGAAAGCGUGGGGAGCGAACAGGCUUAGAUACCCUGGUAGUCCACGCUGUAAACGGUGGGUACUAGGUGUGGGGUCCAUUCCACGGGUUCCGUGCCGUAGCUAACGCUUUAAGUACCCCGCCUGGGGAGUACGGCCGCAAGGCUAAAACUCAAAGGAAUUGACGGGGCCCCGCACAAGCGGCGGAGCAUGCGGAUUAAUUCGAUGCAACGCGUAGAACCUUACCUGGGUUUGACAUGGAUCGGGAGUGCUCAGAGAUGGGUGUGCCUCUUUUGGGGUCGGUUCACAGGUGGUGCAUGCCUGUCGUCAGCUCGUGUCGUGAGAUGUUGGGUUAAGUCCCGCAACGAGCGCAACCCUUGUUCACUGUUGCCAGCACGUUAUGGUGGGGACUCAGUGGAGACCGCCGGGGUCAACUCGGAGGAAGGUGGGGAUGACGUCAAGUCCUCAUGCCCCUUAUGUCCAGGGCUUCACGCAUGCUACAAUGGCUGGUACAGAGAGUGGCGAGCCUGUGAGGGUGAGCGAAUCUCGGAAAGCCGGUCUCAGUUCGGAUUGGGGUCUGCAACUCGACCUCAUGAAGUCGGAGUCGCUAGUAAUCGCAGAUCAGCAACGCUGCGGUGAAUACAUGCCCGGGGCU
This 1346-nucleotide ribosomal RNA is filed under the name uncultured bacterium. RNAcentral describes it as "bacterial SSU rRNA". It matches the Rfam family "Bacterial small subunit ribosomal RNA", at positions 28 to 1381 of the family's 1533-position model. The record is from RNAcentral.